GCGAAACCUUUACACUGCGGGAAACCGCGAUAAGGGGACACCGAGUGCCAGCAUACAAUGCUGGCUGUCCACAUGUGUAAAUAGCAUGUGAUAGCAAGGGCCGGGCAAGACCGGUGCCAGCCGCCGCGGUAACACCGGCGGCCCGAGUGGUAAUCACUAUUAUUGGGUCUAAAGGGUCCGUAGCCGGUUUAAUCAGUCUUCCGGGAAAUCUGACAGCUCAACUGUUAGGCUUCCGGGGGAUACUGUUAGACUUGGGACCGGGAGAGGUAAGAGGUACUACAGGGGUAGGAGUGAAAUCUUGUAAUCCCUGUGGGACCACCAGUGGCGAAGGCGUCUUACCAGAACGGGUCCGACGGUGAGGGACGAAAGCUGGGGGCACGAACCGGAUUAGAUACCCGGGUAGUCCCAGCCGUAAACGAUGCUCGCUAGGUGUCUGGAAUGGUGCGACCGUUUCAGGUGCCGCAGGGAAGCCGUGAAGCGAGCCACCUGGGGAAGUACGGCCGCAAGCUGAAACUUAAAGGAAUUGGCGGGGAGCACUACAACGGGUGGAGCCUGCGGUUUAAUUGGACUCAACGCCGGACAACUCACCGGGGGCGACAGCAAUAUGUAGGUCAAGCUAAAGACUUUACCUGAAUCGCUGAGAGGAGGUGCAUGGCCGUCGUCAGUUCGUACUGUGAAGCAUCCUGUUAAGUCAGGCAACGAGCGAGACCCGUGCCCACUGUUGCCAGCAUAUCUUCGGGAUGAUGGGUACUCUGUGGGGACCGCCGAUGCUAAAUCGGAGGAAGGUGCGGGCUACGGUAGGUCAGUAUGCCCCGAAUCUCCCGGGCGACACGCGGGCUACAAUGGUUGGGACAAUGGGCUCCUACACUGAAAAGUGACGGUAAUCUCAUAAACCCAGCCGUAGUUCGAAUUGAGGGCUGAAACCCGCCCUCAUGAAGCUGGAAUCCGUAGUAAUCGCGUUUCAAUAUAGCGCGGUGAAUACGUCCCUGCUCCU
This 994-nucleotide ribosomal RNA is filed under the name uncultured Methanosarcinaceae archaeon. RNAcentral's name for it is "bacterial SSU rRNA". It matches the Rfam family "Archaeal small subunit ribosomal RNA", at positions 341 to 1337 of the family's 1478-position model. The record is from RNAcentral. Lineage: Archaea; Methanobacteriati; Methanobacteriota; Methanomicrobia; Methanosarcinales; Methanosarcinaceae.